RNAcentral lists this long non-coding RNA (15708 nucleotides) under Ananas comosus (pineapple). Its description in RNAcentral is "long non-coding RNA (ACOM_LNC043907)". The record is from RNAcentral. Lineage: Eukaryota; Viridiplantae; Streptophyta; Magnoliopsida; Poales; Bromeliaceae.
UCUCUACGGGUGUCAGAAUGGUAUGAAACUUUAAAUCUAGCCUCAUAAAAAUAUUUCUGACAUCCCCGCCAAUUUUCAUAAUUUUCUGAGACUGUACAUUUUCUGCUAAUUUAUCAGUCCCGUUUCUAACAGAAAAUUCUAAAUCUUCUGUUUUCGCUCCGAUUUCAACACAGGUCGCUCCCAACCGAUAUUUCACUUCUCUAAAUCUAAUAAAAUAGUAUCUCAUACUAUUUUUAUUUAUUUUUUUCUCUUUUAUAUUUAAAAUCCGGUAUGUUACAUUCCACCGCAACCUCACCGGAACCAUUUAAAUGUACACCGUAACUUCAUAAUUUUAGAAGUCCGGUACCUUACAUUCUCCUCUCCUUAUAAAGAGUUUCGUCCUCAAAACUCAAACCACAUCUCCACUCGAUUUAUCGAGCUAGCGAGGGUACCAACAUGCCUUUCCACUCCGAUUCCGACCACCGGCAUUGCAUAACGACAAUAUCAUUGGUGCAUCGGCCAAUCGCGAGUGCUUCAACUUCAACCGAACCCUUGCUCUAUCACGAGAUGGCACACUCCCGAACAUCUCAGAUCUCAAUCCUCUUUGGGAGCAAUAUCCGCACGUGGCUAUCGGUCACUCAAGUGCCUCCUAGAGACCACUUAACUUUAUCCUUUGUUACCAUAAGCCACGCUCAAAAUCACACGAACCCUCCGUUCGUGAAUCUAAGCCCAACUCACUAACAGAGUUGCCAACCGCACCGAUCAUCGGUUUUCACAGGCGGAUCAACGGUCGUAGCCAUUACGUAGGCUUACCGCCUAUACCUGGCGCAACUACGCCUAGCGUCUCUCGUUCGCACGUAGACCCAAUCAUCAUUCCCGGGCGACAUCCUUAUUGGAGAACUCGCACACACUCCAACCAGGAGCUAUCAAGACCUCAAUCAGUCGGGUCACCACACACUCGGUGUAUCAUCAAUCUCGCACUCUACCACAUGACAUUCCACGUACUCGGGUCUAAGCUCGGACUACCGUCCUGACCAACACUCUCGCCCUACCAAUAGGUAUCGGGCCGCUGUCUCUCACAGCUGACUGCGCCUGCCCAAUGGGCCCAGGCUCCACAGUCCACAAGUGGUCCAGGCACGGGUCGUCCCCGAGCACUACCCGCCAACGUCGUCCUACACGACAUGCUCUACAGAGCUACAAGUACCACUAUCGGCUCCUAAGCACCUAGUGCGAGCCACCAGCCCCACGAGUGAUCCAUGGCCCGCUUCACACUUAGCCCUGCUAAAGUGCUACUGCCAAUUCACUCAACCGGCUGAAUCGAAACCGCACCUCACGAGUAACUAUACUCGAGUGCUCCACGCCUCUACAGCGUCUCACACGAAAUCCAGCAUCAGGCAACUUGCCUAUGCACGUCAACUACACGAGCACAACUCGUCCACCUCAACAUCGAGGUACUACUAGGCCAACAGGCCCGCGUCCGUCAACUACACGGCUACUCUCACCACAGUGGUUCUACUUUCACUAUCCGAUCUACUGGAACACAUUCUCAACUCCCGAGUCUUUCGGGUAUCAUCACAUCAAGGCUCAACUCUCGUAAUUCUCUAUACCAUUGUUUCGAGAGUCACUUACCAAAUCAUGUUUUCCACGAGCCUCAUUCUUUACCUGAGAAUCCUCACUAGCCAUUAGCUAGCACCCUUUAGCUCUCUACCAGCACCAACAGGUGCUACAUUCUCACGAUGUCAGCAUGCUCGGGUAUCUACCUCUACCCGUCCCAACGGUCCCUACUAUGCAAUGUAUAAAUAGUAGCAACAGACCAACGAUGAAUGCAUGCUAUGCAUCAACCUGAGAUUAUGCAAAAGUAUAUGCUUGCUCAACUAACUCAUACCUGCCACGAUGUCGUCGGCAACGGCAGGUUCCACAGCUCGGGUCGCUUAUCCAUGGCCACUUGGCGCUCGUCGCGAACCCUCUGGCAGCAUCAUCCUCAACGGCCGCUCCCCCGACCAUGCCGCAGGUGGCACCCCUGCCGGCUGUCCCAGAGAGGAAUGGACCGUCGCUAGUGUCAAGGCCCGGCUAUCACCCUGCGGACACUCGUCCCGCACAUGACCCGGCAGCCCACACUUGAAGCACUUACCCUCAUGCUGCUCACACUGCUGUGGGAAAUGAGGGCCUCCACAAAUAGCACAUCUCGCCGAGGACCGAAUACGGUAUGUCCCCGGAGCUCGGGAUCGCGAGUGCGAAGUCCUUUGGGAACUCGAUUGACCACUGGAUCCACCUGUCGGUCGUCCUUUCCCCUUUUUCCUUGUAAUACGACUCGCGCUCUUCCCGCAUAAACGCGUUGCCCUGUUCUAUCCACAAGGCCCGAUCCAGGACUUCAGCAAAAGUCUGCAACCUGUGUACAUUCACAGCCUUGUAGAGGUCUGACCGAAGUCCACGCACAAAGCAGUCGGCCUUGUCCUUGUCACCCCGCACCACGUUCGGGAUACAAUGCACGAUACGGGAGAAUUCCCGCUCGUAUUGCCUGACCGAGCGGUCACCUUGCCGCAGCUUCCAGAACCUCUCCUCAAGCUUUUUCCUUUCACUGUCGGGGAAAUAAGCAGAGAACAACAUUCCCCGAAACUCUUCCCAAGUCAUUGGAGGGAGACUAGGCGAUCGAUCUCGCUUAACGCCUUUCCACCACACCUUCGCCGAUUGUUUCAAGUAGUGCACGGCUAGGUUUACCUUGUCCCGCUCCUCAGUGUACAGAUCCUCGAAGAGUGUUUCUAUGGAAUCAAUCCACAUUUCUACGAUCCACGGAUCUGUGUCCUCACCAUCAAAGGUAGGCGGAUCAAAUUUCUUGAAAGCCAUGAGGGCAGCCAAAGCUCGCUCCCGUUCCGCCGCCACCUCUGAACCAACAGGAGUCGGAUUACCCAACCCCGACGGAAACAUCUCUGCCGCGACUCCCGGCCGUCCAUGACGAGCCGUAGCUGGCGCAGCCACCAGCUGAUCUAGCGUCUCUUGGAGUCGUUUCAUUCGCUCCUCUUGGCGCAUGGCGGCCUCCUGCUGCCGCUGCACCACAUCAGCCUGUUGCCUCACCACUCCCACGAGUGUGGCCAACUGAUCACGAAGCUCUGCGCCUACGCUCGCUUCGACUUGCUCAGGGACACCACUUGUCCCCACCCGCGCCGAUCUGGACGAAGAUCGCCUACGCGGUGCCAUCGUUUCCUGAAACACGACAACUUGAUUAGUUCUCGACCAACUCGGGUCGAACGCGAAACCAUUAACACCGGCUCAAAAGCCAAUCGGGCGAAAGUCAUGCAAGGGCGUCUAUUCUCAUCGCUCGGCUUCAUGUUGUGUGCACCCAACAUGAACACCCUCGGUUGAGAAUCAACAACAUCUUGAAUCUACCUCCAAUAUCCGUCUUAGAGGUUUCAACACUUAACACAAUCAAUUAUCUUUCGCCAUAAAUCACAAAUCCUCGUCUCUCUCACGAGCCUUAAUCUCCUAGGCUUUUACUAUCCUAGGGUCUCCUAGGUUUGCCUAAACCAUUCCUAUUUUCUACUUUAUGCUCUGAUACCACAACUGUCACGACCCGCGACCACCCGCCUAUUUGGCCGAGGUCCCGGCGCCGCCGACAUCGCCGAAUGGACAAGGUUUCCCCUGUACAACGGACAGAGUCUCCCCUGUACAUUCAAGGCAUUGCAAUCGAUACAAUUCACGAAGGUUCCAACCAGGAACAGAUAUCAAUCAACAGAUUGCAAGAGGAGGGUAUCAUACAACAUAAACACAUCCUAAAUUAUUACAUUCAUUCGCAUUCAUAGUGUUUACAUCACAAUUACCAUUCUUUUACAUUCGACCUCCAAUCACAAUCUAAGUUAUUACAACUUAAACAAGCUCGAUACAUUUCUUUUCAUUUCUUUUAAACCCUUAAGCUAGACUGCCACAGGGUACAACUAUCUCAGUCUCUGGGGUAGGACGCUAUCUGCAGAACUACGCCCUCACCUUGCGCCGCCGCGCUGCACACGUGUGUACCUGUACCCCCAAAAACAGCAACACGGGGGUGAGACUAUUGUCCAUAGUCCUCAGUGGGUUUAGCCACCCAAGAGAACAAGCUCAGCCAACAGGUCUAACGAGGCACUGCAACAUGUUAGUUCAACAAUAUACAACAGAUAUAUAUAUUCAAUUGAAAUACAUGUCAUGCCUCACGAAAUGCAAUAUGCAAAACCUGUAAUCAUGCAAGUAGGUUACUUUAACGCUACUUUUGCUCUUAACCAUUCUUUAUUCUUUGUCAUUUAACGCUUACUUUUAGCUCUUAGCUAUUCUUUACUUGUAACCUCUCUUUAGCUAUUCUUUAUCAUUUAGCUAUUCUUUACUCUUAACAUUCUUGAACCAUGCUAUAUCUUAGCCUUUGGCAUUCUACUCUAAGGUCACUUUANGAAGGCUCCGUACAGAAUGGCACCUGCUGAGUUGAGAGAAUUGAAAGCUCAGUUGCAGGACUUGAAGGAUAAAGGCUUUGUAAAGCCUAGUGUAUCACCGUGGGGAGCUCCAGUUUUAUUUGUAAAGAAGAAAGACGGAACGUUUCGGCUUUUCGUUGAUUAUCGUGAACUGAACAAGAUCACGAUAAAGAAUAAAUAUCCGUUGCCGCGAAUUGACGACUUAUUUGAUCAGUUGCAAGGAUCGCGAGUAUAUUCGAAGAUUGAUCUUCAAUCGGGUUAUCACCAAUUGAAAAUCAAGCCAGAGGAUGUGCAUAAGACAGCGUUUCGCACUCGCUAUGGUCACUAUGAGUUUACAGUAAUGCCGUUUGGGCUUACCAACGCCCCGGCAGCGUUCAUGGAUCUGAUGAACAGGAUCUUUAAGCCACUGUUGGAUCAGUGUGUAGUGGUGUUUAUAGAUGACAUCCUGAUCUUUUCUCGAAGUAAUGAGGAGCAUGAAGAACAUUUAAGAAUAGUAAUGCAAAUUCUGCGGGAAAAGCAAUUGUAUGCCAAAUUGAAGAAAUGUGAAUUUUGGCUACGAGAGAUUGCAUUUUUGGGACACGUGAUUUCUGAGGGUGGUGUUUCUGUUGACCCAAAGAAACUAGAGGCAAUUAAAGAUUGGCCUCGCCCGACGACUGUUCCAGAGAUCCGCUGUUUCCUUGGACUUGCUGGAUACUAUAGGCGGUUCGUGGAGGGGUUUGCGAAGAUUACUACUCCACUAACGCGCCUUACACACAAAGGAGUUAAAUAUGUUUGGAGCGAGGAAUGUGAUCGUAGCUUUCGGGAGUUGAAAGAAAGGUUGACUUCGGCUCCUAUUCUCGCCUUGCCUAUUUCGGGAGAAAGCUAUGUGGUUUAUAGUGACGCUUCCUACAGUGGGCUUGGGUGUGUACUUAUGCAAGGUGGUCGAGUGAUUGCUUAUGCAUCUCGCCAACUGAAGACUUAUGAAAAGAAUUAUCCUAUCCAUGAUUUAGAAUUGGCGGCAGUGAUCUUCGCACUGAAGUUGUGGAGACAUUAUCUUUAUGGCGAGCAUUGUGAAAUCUAUACUAAUCACAAAAGCCUGAAGUAUUUAUUCACCCAAAAAGAACUGAAUAUGCGACAACGCCGGUGGUUAGAAUUGUUGAAAGAUUAUGACGUGAAUAUUCUAUACCACCCGGGAAAGGCAAAUGUGGUUGCGGAUGCACUGAGUAGGAAGUCAGUGGAGAACUUGGCUAUGUUGAUCACACAUCAACCGUCAUUGUGGAAGGAAAUGUGGCGGUUUGACCUUGAGGUAGUAGCUCCAGAGGUACCAGCUAUACUCGCCGCUUUAGUUGUUCAACCGACUUUGUUGGAACGGAUUAAAGAUCGACAAUCUUUAGAUCCAUAUCUCCAAAAGGUGCGGUGUGAAGUUGAGAGCGGGCGUGGUGAUGAUUUUACAGUGGGAUCUGACGGAGCACUUCGGUUUCGAAACCGGUUGUGCGUGCCCAAAGACGAGGAGAUUCAGCGGGCUAUUUUGCAGGAGGCUCAUCAGUCAUCUUAUAGUAUACAUCCAGGUGGCACUAAGAUGUACAGGGAUCUUAAAGUGCAUUAUUGGUGGCCUGGAAUGAAGAAUGAUGUUGGACAGUUUGUGGCGCAAUGUUUGACUUGUCAGCAGGUUAAAGCUGAGCGCAGAUUUUCCGCGGGAAAGUUACAGAGCUUGCCUAUUCCAGUUUGGAAGUGGGAGAACAUUGCGAUGGACUUCAUUGUUGGAUUACCUCGAUCGCAGGCUGGACAUGAUACCAUUUGGGUGAUUGUUGAUCGAUUGACGAAAUCGGCGCAUUUCUUGCCAAUUCAUAUCACUUGGUCAGGGGACAAGCUAGCACAGGUGUACCUCGACGAGGUUGUGAGAUUACACGGAGUCCCGACGUCGAUUGUAUCUGAUCGAGAUCCGCGGUUUACGUCUCACUUUUGGAGGAGCCUACAGGAUGCUCUUGGCACACGUCUUGACUUUAGUACAGCCUUUCACCCUCAGACCGAUGGACAGUCUGAGAGGACGAUCCAGAUUUUGGAGGACAUGUUACGGGCGUGUGUGCUUGACUUCAGAGGGAGUUGGCAUGACUCCUUGGCGAUGGCUGAGUUUGCAUAUAAUAACAGUUAUCAAGGAAGUAUCGCUAUGGCACCGUUUGAAGCCUUAUACGGGAGAAAAUGUCGAUCCCCUAUCCAUUGGAGUGAGGUAGGAGAAAGGACUGUUCUUGGUCCUGAGGUACUCCAGGAGGCGGAGGAAAAGGUACGCCUAAUCCGCCAGAGAUUGUUGACGGCCCAGUCACGGCAGCAGAGUUAUGCAAAUAAGCGCCGAAAGGACUUGGAAUUUGCAGUGGGUGAUCGGGUGUUAUUGAAGGUGUCACCAAUGCGGGGAAUGAAAAGAUUUGGAGUUCGAGGAAAGCUUAGUCCUCGAUACAUUGGACCUUACGAGAUCCUAGAGCGGGUUGGAGCAGUAGCUUACAGAUUGGCUCUACCGCCAAAACUUGAAGGAGUUCACAAUGUGUUUCAUGUUUCAAAUCUCCGAAAAUAUGUGCAUCAUUCAGGGCAUGUCCUAGAGUACGAACCAGUGGAGUUGCAGGAGAACAUGACUUACGAAGAAUAUCCAAUCUGCAUUUUGGAUCGCAAGGAUAAGGAAUUGCGAAAUCGCACCAUUCCCUAUGUGAAGGUUCAAUGGAGCAAUCACUCAGGUCGUGAGGCGACUUGGGAAUUGGAAAAUGCCAUGCGUGAAGCCUAUCCCCAUCUAUUCAACCAGGUGAACUGAGGUAUGAAUUUAAGUUUCGAGGACGAAACUAUUUUAGGAGGGGAGAUUGUAAUAGACUGAAAAUUGCUUAUAAGCUAAUUGUGAUUAAAGUAGUCACAAUAAUGCUAAAAUGGAAAUUAAAGGUUUCUAAACCUAAGUAGAGGUUUGAGAUCAGUCAUUGAGUCAUGUUGGAAGUGUGAGAAUAGAAAUAAAUGGGAUUGAAAUGGUUAAAGAACUCCAAUCGCCGUUAUUACUCUAUUGCUGAAAUUUUAGUCAACUUGGUCGAAAAAUGAUCAAGUUGAUGCUAAUUCGAAAAUGGAUUGCUUCCAAACUAUUUUGGUAGCUUGGGAAGCUUCUUUGGAAGGUUUUAGAAGUGUUGGAAUGAAAUUGGAGUGAAUUGAAUGCGAGAAACAAGAGAUUGGACAAGCUGCUGCUGCUGCUGUUAAUAUUGUCACCAGGGCUUCUUGUACCGGUACAAGAAGCCUAUACCGGUACAGCAGUUGCGGGCAGCACUUGUCCACCAAUGCAAUUUCAUGGAUUUAAAGGGCUAAAUUGCAAUUUUUCACCCUUAUCACUUCACCCUUAGUGGAAUACACUUGUCUAAAUAUCAGAGAUUCCAUUCCCUUCAUUUCUUAUCAUCUAAUUCCUUCUCUCUUUCUCUCUAAGUAAAGAAAGGGUUGAGGGGAAAUUGGAGUUGGCAGCUUGGAGGGUUGUGGGCUGAAGGAGAAGACCUGAUCCAAUCAUAGAAUUGCUGCUGAUUGGAGUUGCUAGAUCACCUGGAACAGCAACUAAUCAAGGUAAACUUGAUUAAGACUUAUGGAUUUCUUGUUAAUUACCUUGAAAAAGAUGUUUAUAUGGACUCUUGGGGGUUAGCAGCUUGAUGGUUUGGGCUUAUUGAUGCUGCGAGCAGAGACUUCAGCAGAGAGAGCUUGGAAUUGGGGUAUGUAUAUAUUGCUUCUCAGCUGGGAGCUUAGUAGGUGCUGUAGGGAAGCCUCUAAAUGAAUAAUUGAGACAUGUAAUGCAGGAAAAUUCAGUUUGGGGCUGAUCUGGUACUCGCAGGCUACCAAGCUGAAGUGAAGUUGAUGUUGUUGGUGCUGUUGUGCUGCCGAAAUGCAGGGGUGACCCAUUUCAUGCAGUGAGCAAGCUAAAUUAGCACUAAGUUAAAGUAAGUUCACUCCACAUCUAAAUAUAGUCCAAGUAGUUACUUUAGAAUGGAUCAAACUAAGAGUUCGAUUGCUGAAAUUCAGAUUUGGAGCUGAAAAUUGCAAUCUUGGUGGAACUUGGAGAAUUCCUGCAGCAGUGACCCUUUGGUAUAGCUUUUAACUAAGUUAAUAUCAAUUAUUAAGUAAUUAACUAGGAGUUAAUUACAUCUGGACUGAUUUACAUGAAGGAAUUGCUGCGAGAAGUAGAAUAAUAGAAGCUUCAGCUGAGUGAAGUUGAUGCAUUAGUGCUGAAAUUCCAACAUGGUUCAUGAUUUCAGCACUCGUAUAGAGUUGAGUAAUGAACUGAAAUAAAAGGCUUCAAGGCAGUAAUUCUUGCUAAUUGAACUAAGCGUUCUAGACUUAUAGUAGUUGCUCGACGAAGAGGUGAAUUGCUGAAAAUUCAGCAUUUGGCAACAUUUCAGUCUAGUGUAUGUACUUGGAGUUGGAAAUGCUAACUUGCAAAAUUUGAACAUGUGACUUUAGUUUAACCUCUUUUGUUAUCUUAUAAGUGAAAGUUAUUUAUUCUCGAAAGUCUAAAUUGACUUUCCGACAGGUCGGUGACGCGCUAACUACGAUAGAAGCCAUUUUGGCUCUAAUUGCUUCUAGUCGUGAGAUACCCUCGUGGAUUCACUUCGAGACGUGAGAUUUGAUUUGCGACACCACUACAGGUGGGUGGUGCUAUCCGAAAUCUUUGAAUCACCUUUUAUGUCUAUUGUAAUUCAUUGAGCAUAUUUACAUUGUAUUCACGCAUUAUAGGGUUUUGAUAUUAUGUAGUGAUAUUGAUUAUGCAAAUUCUUAUUGAAAAUGAGAACAUGUGAACAUAGAAUGUGGACAUAGAACCCUAUGAAUGCAUGGACUAUAACAAUAGUGAACUUGGUGACAUUCUAACUAGAGGUUUGGUUAGCAUCGAGAAAUGAAUUUGUGAAACUAGCAUAAAGAACUAGUUAGAGUAAAGUGUGACAGUGUUUGUCAGUUGAAUCCUCUAAAGGGGGAUCAGAUCAUACUCACAUUUGUUUGGUUCAAGUGAGGUCGCUCCUCCUUGAACGAUGAGCUCCGGAGUAGUCAUCUUUACUGGACUAGGAGGUUGCGUCUCCCCCAGUUUAGUCCUGUCGGGUGCAGGUUGCGUCUCCCCGAUAUUUGGGAUAGUGUCAGUGAGUGAUUGUUAACCAAAUGGGUUAACCAAUGAAUUGGGUAAAUUCAGUAAAAAGCAUGCAUGCAUAUUUACAGUUUACAUAUAUUGCUUUCUUUCAGCUUUGUACAGGCAUUGUAGUAGUUACAUGUUAUAGUUGGUUACUAUCUGUUUACUCCUUUUGCCUACAUAUACCUGAAUAGACCUAGUGGGUGAGUCGGCGAGGUCGGCAGCCGAACCCACUGGGAACUUUCUUGUAGUUCUCACACCACUAACCACACAGGUUCCAGUGCGAGCGUCGUGGCCAUGGAUCGCGGCAAGGGCCCCGCAGCUUAGCUAGCUGACACCAGAGUAUAGUGGUUACCAUUUUGGCUUUAUGUAUCAUCUAGUUCGAUGUACAGAGACAUGUAAAUGAAUGUAUAAUAGAAUAUGUAAAUAACUAAAUGAUUUCAUAUUCAGUUAUGUAAAAUUCAGUUUGAAAGUUUUAAAUUACAGUGAAUUUCAUAUUUAGCUAGCUUUACUAUCACUUGUGAUUGUUGCUUGCCUUCGUGCAAGCCAUGUAUACUGAAAUGUGAUCUUGGGAAUUGUUUAUUUCUCUAUACAUGUACUCGUUGUUGUUGAGCCUUGGGCGAACAGAGGAGGUGCUGUUCGUUCGGCGUCUGUGUACGGGCCCGGAUCGACCAAAUUGGCGAUAGCGGGACGUGACACGAAUGUCCAUACCGCGUACGGAACGCGGUCUUCGGGACAUCCUCCGGCUUGAUCUUCAACUGAUGGUAGCCGGAUUGAAGAUCAAUCUUCGAGUACACUCGCGACCCCUGUAACUGAUCAAACAAGUCGUCAAUGCGGGGUAACGGGUACUUGUUCUUCACAGUGACCUUAUUCAACUCGCGGUAGUCCACGCAGAGUCGAAAAGAUCCGUCUUUCUUGCGCACAAACGAUAAUGGGGCUCCCCAUGGCGACACGCUCGGCCUAAUAAACUCCUUGUCAAGAAGAUCUUGCAACUGAUCUCUCAACUCUCUCACCUCAGCCGGCGCCAUGCGAUACGGGGCCUUCGAUAUCGGCGCGGUUCCGGGAAUUAAGUCUAUCAUGAACUCAAUCUCCCGGUCCAGCGGCAUCCCCGGUAACUCUGCCGGAAACACAUCUGGGAACUCCCGCACAACCGCCAAUUCUUCGAGAGUCGGAACUACUCGAUCGACUUCCACGACAGUCGCCAAAUAAGCCGUGCAACCACUGUUGACUAGCUUCCUCGCUCUUGUCGCCGAUACCGUCGCGGCGAAACACGAACUCUUGCAAGCUCGAUACGUGAACUCCUCGUGUCCCGGCUCCCGAAAUGUGAUCACUCUGGUCUUGCAAUCAAUGGACACAUAAUACUUCGAGAGCAAGUCCAUGCCCAAUAUUAUGUCGAACUCUUUCAAUCUCUUGAGUGCCAGCAGAUCGAUCGGCAUGACCCAGUCGCCUACUUGCACUGGGCACGCUAAACACCGCUUCCUUACAAUGAAUGAUCGCCCGGGUCCUUCUACAUGCCAAACGUUCUCCCCUAGACGAAUCACAACAUCAUGCUCUAGAGCAAACGAUCGACUAAUGAACGAGUGAGAUGCACCUGUAUCGAAAAGAGCUCUCGCUCGAACACCGCUAACCAAAACCAUACCUGCUACCACAUUGCGCUCCUCGGCUUCGGUGGGCUCCUCGACUUGCACUUGAGCGGCAUACAUUCGGCCACUCGGAGCCGAUCGUGCGGGUUCAGGUUGGCGUGGCGCAGCCGCACGUCCAGCCGACGCCACAGCAGGUGGAGCUCCAUAACGAGCCGGAAUCGCCUGGGCCGAUGCAACAGACGGGGCAGGAAAAGCCCCUCCCUGAGGACAGUCACGUACCAUGUGUCCGGCUUGCCCGCACCUAAAACACUUUCCUCGGCGCUGCUCACAUACACCGGGUCGGUGGUCACCGCCACAGAAGAUACAACGCUGUGCUCCGCGGCCCUUCGACUGCGAUCGUGGAUACUUCGGGGGUCUUCUGGAACUCGAUUGUCCCCCCGAACUACCGCCCGGUCGCUUCUUCCCUUUAUCCUUCUCAUAGGUCUCACGGUUCUCACGCUCGCAAGCGUUCCCGUGCUCGACCCACAAGGCACGGUCCAAGGCCUCUGCGAAGGUGUGGAACUUGAAAGCAUGGACCGUCCUAAACACUCCGGGUCGGAGUCCCCUCACGAAGCAAUCUGCUCGGUCUUGCUCCGUCGUCGGAACGUCCGAGACGCAGUUCAAAAGAUGAGUGAACUCCCGCUCGUACUCCCGAACCGUCCGAUUGCCUUGUUUGAGCUUUCUGAAGUCUUCCCGCAUAUUCCUUUUAUCACUGUUGGGAAAGUACUCUGCGAACAUCAAUCUUCGGAACUCCUCCCAAUCGAUCGGGGGAAGAUCCGGAGAUCGAUCCUGUUUCACUCUCUUCCACCACACUCGGGCCCGCUUGUUGAAACAGUGUGCGGCCAAAUUCACCUUGUCCCGCUCCUCGGUAUUGUCACAGCCCGCGACCACCCGCCUAUUUGGCCGAGGUCGCGGCGCCGACAGUGCCGAACGGACAGGGUUUCCCCUAUACUACAGACAGAGUCUCCCCUGUACGUUCAAGGCAACGCAAUCAAUACAAUACGAGGGUUCCAACCAGGAACUGAUAUCAAUCAAGAUUGCAUAAUGGAAGGUAUCAAACAACAUAAACACAUCCUAAGCUAUUACAUUCAUUCACAUUCAUGCAUUUUACAUCUCAAUUCUCAAUUGCUUUAACUUCCAAAUACAAUCUAAGUAGUACAUCGUUUACUUAUUACAAUUUGAUACAUUCGCUUUCUUUUCAUUUCCUUUACCCCUAAGCUUUGUAGACGGGUACUGCUAGCUCUGUCUCCGUGGUAGGGCGCUAUCUACGGAGUUACGCCCUUUCCUCGCGCCGCCGCGCCGCUCACGUACGAUCCUGUAACACCCCAAAACAACGUGGGGUGAGAACCAACUCCAUGGUUCCCAGUGGGUACGGCCACCCAAGGGAAAAGCUCGACCGACAGGUUCAAAGGAGGCAACUGCAGGUUAGUUUAAUAAACAGAUAGAUAGAUAUUUUGACUAUGCAAUUAAUAGAACCAUACCUUGCCUCGCAAUUGUAACAAUGCUAUGCAAUAUGCAAUACCUGUAAAUCAUGCAAGUAGAUUACUUGAUCUACUUUAUAUCAUUAACCAUACUUUACUUGUAGCCGUUCUUUUCUUUAUUAGCUAUUCACGUUCGUUAGUUAUUCUUUAUUCUUUACUCUUUGUCUUAUUGUGCUCACUGGCGAUUCUUUCCUAAGGUUAUUUUACCUUAGCCAUCUAUGCCACUCGACUCGGUCUCGAGUCAAUCAACUGCGGAUAGUCCGCACUCUGUCCGGCUCAAGGUGAAGGACCUCUCACUUACACCUCAGCCUUCAGUCUACAAACAUCUCGCCAACGGGUCGCCCAGAGCUGCGUACACCCGUGGUCAGGGAUCUUUCCGGUGGGAAGGGGAUUAUACCACAAACUCAACCCGCGGCCCAAGACCCCCGAUAGGGAAGGGGACAUGCCACACUCAACCCUAGCAAAGCACGAUUCUGCCGACAGGAGGGGGAACCUGCCACACUCGACCCGCGGCCUCGAAUCAGCCUCAAGCUCAUCCUCGAAGUUCGUCCAGUGGGAGGGGACCCUGUCACACUCAACCCACUGCUCUAGAACUGUCGAGUUCACAAUCCUAAGAUUCCGGAAUCUAUUUCCCAAGCCUCUAGGGUAAUCUCAAACCCUAUGAUAUCGACCUAUCUAGGUCCAAUGCACUUUCUGUCCUAGGUCUAGCUGACUCUAGGUUUAAUGCCUUUUUUCACAUAACCUAUGUUCUUUAAACUAGGUUAAGCCUCUCUACCUAGAUCUUAUUAACUCUAGGUUCAACAACACUAAGUUCAUUGUCAACCUAGGUUUACCAACACUAGGUUCGAUAUCGAUUUACCUAGACCUUGAAUCUAGGUUCAUUAUGUUCAACCUAUGUUCACGACACUAGGUUAAUGCCACUCGAUCUAGCCUAGGUUCACGACACUAGGUUUAACAUCAUUCAUAUUCAUCCUAGGUUCUUGACCCUAGGUUCAUAUUCGACCUAUGUUAAUUACACUAGGUUCGGCGCCACUCGAUCUAGUUGGCCCUACUUGUCCACAUCGAGUUUCUAUAAUCAUAUAUACUCUAGCAUGCAUUCUAUGAUGCCGACAUGCAUCUACAUUUAACAUAGCCUACAUUAUCAUCGUGCAUGUUAUACAUGUAUAGCUUUUCUCAUCAUGUCAAUAAGCAUUAUCCUCUCGCAUGCAUUUUCAUAAGGUCAAUAUGCUCUUGUCAUCUAACUUGUAUUCACAUGAUGCACUUAUGCAUUUUAUCCAACCGCACUUACAUGCUCUAUUAUGAGUUGACAUGAACUAGCACUUGCAUAUAAUUCCAAUGCAUCAACAUGCCAUUAGCAACUAGCAUAAUUACUAUCAUUUAGUACAUGCAUCUUAACUAACAUGCUCACAUAAUGUUACAUGCACCUAGCAUACAUUCCAAUGCACAAAUAUAUCGCUUGUAUCUAGUUACUAGCAUGUACUUCCCAAUGCAUUAUUAUGCAAUUAUCACUAAACAUUACCCAACAUGAUCUCAUAACUCAUAAGGUUAACAAUAGGUUAACAUUCAUUUAUAUGCUCAUGUUCUCUAAUACAUGUCAACAUGAAUCUCAUAAUGCUAAAUGCCCCAAGCAUGUAUUUCACUAAGCAUACAUACUAAUAUGCAAAUUACCAACUAGCAUGCAUUUAUACAAUGCAAAUAUGCCCGUAUGCACAUACAUAUAUGCAUCAACCAAAAAUCUAUAUUUCGCUUUGACAUGUGGGGCGACCAAGUCGCUUCGGUAAGCACAACCCACCUCGAUUCGCGUUCCGAUUGCUUGUCGACACUUGCAAUCGGCCUCCUGCGGCACCCGUAUCCGGCACGGCCCGAUAUCGCAACUGCGCCUCAACCGUGCUCCGCUUCGCAGCCCCGAAAAUUAUAGGUCCUCGGUUACGUGCCACGGUGCUUCAAAUCUAUUUCCAUGAUUUUACGACGUCGCCUCGGCCCUCCCGGCGGACCCGAAGCCUAAACGUCCGUUUCUUUAAUAACUUCGCAACGGCUCGUCGGAUUGCCAAACCGUCUUCGCCAACGCGUUUCGUUACCUAGCAAUUAGGUUUAUAUAGGUUCAAUUUAGAUCAAACCCAUCUAUUUACAAAAAUUGCAUUUUUGAAGCCCUACAAUGCUACUAUUGUAAAAUACUUCAAAUCAAUUCAUAAUUUAUGCAUUAUCCAUCUAUGUAGCAUCUUAGGAGUCAUCUAAAACCAAUUCUAGAGUUUAUAAGCCAAACCCUAAACGCUUACCGAAUUUGUGAACGCCGAGUCGAAAGCACGCCGUUCAAACGGCCGGACGAAAACCCGAUCCGACGCUUCGCACGCGUUCCAAAACUCGCUCUCCGCCAACGCCGCGAAUUUGAGCACGAAAUAUAGAGAGAUGAGAGAGAUAUUUAGAGAGAGAAAGAGAGGGUUUAUCUCUCCCUCACCAUGUGCGUGUGAUGCUUGGUGCUGGCUGCGGCUGAGGAAGAAGGAGUCAACACUCCUUUUUAUAGUCAACACCAAAACACUAUUCACUUUAGCACAAUUUCAGUUUAGCGGCUCAAAAUCUGAUACCUUUCGCCGGAGCCCUCUGAAUAUCCGUUUGGGCUCAAAUUUGACAGUCAUGUUCGGUUUUACUUAACUUAACGAAAGAAAUUUUAAUCUUUCAGUUUCGACCCCGUUUGGUCACUGAAAGCUGUACCGAACUGUAAUCUUUAUCAGAUAGCUGUCGGAUUUUAUUUUCCAUCUUCCGGGUGUCCGAAAAAUAUGAAACUUUAAAUCUAGCUCACAAAAAUAUUUCUGACAUCCCCGCCAAUUUUCAUAAUUUUCUGAGACUGUGCAUUUUCUACUAAUUUAUCUGUCCCAUUUUCAACAGAAAAUUCUAAAUCUCCUGUUUUCGCUCCGAUUUCAGCACAGGUCAUUCCCAACCUAUAUUUCACUUCUCUAAAUCCAAUAAAAAUAGUAUCUCAUACUGAUUUUAUUUAUUUUUAUUUUUAUAUUUAAAAUCCGGUAUGUUACAUUCCACCGCAACCUCACCGGAACCAUUUAAACGUACACCGUAACUUCAUAAUUUUAUAAGUUCGGUAUGUUACA